RNAcentral lists this long non-coding RNA (1553 nucleotides) under Citrus maxima (pomelo). RNAcentral describes it as "long non-coding RNA (CMAX_LNC002910)". Lineage: Eukaryota; Viridiplantae; Streptophyta; Magnoliopsida; Sapindales; Rutaceae. The record is from RNAcentral.
AAAAUCUUAACUUAACGAACAAGCCACUGCGGGCUGUAUUUGCCAAAUUAGUAUGUCUUUAUAUUCAUAACUCCUUUGCAUGUUACAACCAUUGGUUAACCACGGGCUAUUCUAUCGUGCAAAACUUAGGAUCUAACUACUUGCUUUCAACCAGAGUACUCUACAUGACUUGGGCGGCAAAUUCUUUAUAAUUAGAAAGAAAUGGCAAAUAAGUCUCCUAAGGGGCCAAAGAUAUGUUAUAAUCCAGUAUUAAGUCCCCACAAUAGUUAUGCACGAGGCGGGUAGACCAUUCUCUAUAAUGAUUGAGAUGGUUCUCGAAUCUUGAUGAAACUCCUGUCGCAAGUCAAUUGAUUUAUCAAGGGUAUGUUUCAGAUGAGACUAGAUUUCAGUAAUUAAACUCGGGAUAUAAAACAGAACAUGCCAUGGCUUGAAUUCAUUCUGAACAAUCUAUGGCUUAUAUGGAAGUAAUAGAAAGUCAUUACAGAAUAGAACCAUUUAUUAUUUCAAACUUAUUACAUUCUUUUGCUAACAAAAGAGUUUCAGUAGAUCUUUUGAAGGACACUUCACUGAUUACGCCUGCUCAGCUUCUUCUUCUUCUUCUUCUCCAGCAGUCUCUUCUUCGGCUAAAUCUGCAUCCGCUGCAUCUUCCUCUGCUAAAUCUGCAUCUGCUAAAUCGGCAUCUGCUACAUCAUCUGCUAAAUCUGCAGGCAUCUCUUCAUCUAUUGCUUUCUUCGGUGGUGGAGGCCUUUUAGGCUUUUUAGGGGCAGGCUUCACCAGUGGAGAUUUCCCUGGCUUCUUUUUCGGUGGGAUUUUCUUUCCUGCUUUGGGUGGCUUCCCUUUCCCUCCUUUAGGAGGCUUUUUACCUCCUUUUCCUCCUGGUUUUUUACCUCCCUUUCCUCCUGGUUUUUUGCCUCCUUUCCCUCCUGGUUUUUUCGGUCCUUGUUUCUUGCCUGCGCCCUUCUUAGGAGGUUUGUUUUUUACUCCUCCUUUUUUAACUGGUUUUUUCUGUUUCUGCACAAAUUUGUAAGAAGACACUUUUAUCAGCUUGUAAAAUCAAAAUGGAAUCAGUCGAGCUACUACAAGUAAACUCGCAACUGCUUUGUUUAGAGCUAACUGGCUCAUAUCCCCCUGCAUAAAUCCAAGCAUCUUAAAAUUGUAAAUUCAAUAAUAACGGUGUUCAUGAAGUUGAAUGAAAAUUUUAUCAAGUGUCUAGUGUCAUGCCCCGCAUGUAGCUGCCAAAAGCAUAUCCCCGUAUAUCUUAUAGAGAAUCUCUCAAUUCUUUUAGAGCAACCAGGAAGAGAUUCACUGUUCAGAUUUUUGCUCAAGGCCACACCCUCUUUUGGAGGGCGUGACACUAGUGAUACUAUAUAUGAAAAAUGUGGAAUAUAUUUAACAUCAAUGAGCAAAACAAGAGAACUAAGAUGUAGGCAUUGAUGAUACAUUACAUUUUGCAGGAAAAGUGCUCUGGCGUCAGCAGCUCCUCCUGGCUCCCCUUCUGCUGAUAGAAACAGUGGAGAUGGCUUGUCGGGUGAUGGAGGACCCUCGGAUUUAGG